Molecule: non-coding RNA, 828 nt
Organism: Pantherophis guttatus
Lineage: Eukaryota; Metazoa; Chordata; Lepidosauria; Squamata; Colubridae
Source: RefSeq, a predicted model, not a curated record
CGGCCCCAAGCCUGCUGGAAAAGCCAGGUUUUCACCAUUUUCUGGAAGGCCAGCAGGGUGGGAGCGGUUCUGGCUCAGGAGGUAGCUGAUUCCAGAGAGCCGGAGCAGCCACAGAGAAGGCCCUCCCCCGCAGACCCACCAGGCGACAUUGUUUAGCUGACGGGACCCAGAGGCGGCCAACUCUGUGGGAUCUUACCGGUCGUUGGGAACUAUGCGGUAGAAGACGGUCUCGAAUUAAAGAAAACCCUUUCCAAAGAGAUUGCCAGCCUUGAGGACAGGAUGGAACUGAAGUUUUUUGACUGUGGACUGCUAUCAUCAUUGCCGGACCUUCGCAGACAACGCAUCUACAGUGUGUCUCAAACAUAAUUGUAGGUGAAGAUCUUCAAGCCAAACAGCUAUGAAAUACUUGUUUUGAAUCUUUAUAUUUAAUGACCAGCCCUGUCAAGGAAGUAAGCUAACAAGAACGAGACACAUAGAAAGAAUCUUUGGACUUUACCCAGGACAGAAACUGGUUGAUUUUACACUGGAAUUUUCCUAACUGGAUCUAAUCCCUUGAAUACACUGUCAAAAGAGAUCACUGGCUGAGAAUCUCCAUGGCAACUAGCAAGAAUGUGCAACCUGUUUUGGCUCUUUUUGAAGUAUGCCUCUUUUUUCCUUUCUAGGAAAAUUUAAAUAAUUUAAAUAAAUUUUGAGGGUUUUUUUUUUUUUUUUUUUUUUUGUAAAUAAUGUGGGUUUCUUUCUAGGUUUAGAAUCCCAAGUUUAAAUUUAAGGCUUUUUGCCUGCUAGCUCCUACUUUAUAAAUUGUGCAAAACGUAAUCCAGCUUGAUU